CAUGUGUCUGUGUUGGGUGUGGCCUCCAGGUCAGUGAUGCAGGACUUCUGGAGAAGGAGCUGCUUGGGGGGAUGGGGGCCCAGCGCCCUGGCCGACCCCUCAGGGCUGUGGGUCCGGAUGCCGCUGACUGUCCUGUGGGUCACCGUGACGCUCGCCAUGGCGCUGUUUAUGCCUGACCUCAGCGAGAUCGUCAGCAUCAUCGGAGGCAUCAGUUCCUUCUUCAUCUUCAUCUUCCCAGGUUUGUGCCUCAUCUGUGCAAUGGGCGUCGAGCCUAUAGGACCAAGAGUCAAGUGCUGCCUGGAGGUCUGGGGAGUGGUGUCUGUGCUGGUCGGCACCUUCAUCUUUGGGCAGAGCACGGCGGCAGCGGUCUGGGAGAUGUUCUGAUGGGCAGCCAGUGCCGGGCAGGAAGGGGCCCUCCGGGGCUGACCCUACGUGGCUGCUGUGUGCAGCCAGGAGACCGAUGUCAUUUCUUUUCGUCAUAAAGAUGCUGGAGAGACUGA
RNAcentral lists this small RNA (500 nucleotides) under Pan troglodytes (chimpanzee). RNAcentral's name for it is "retained intron". Lineage: Eukaryota; Metazoa; Chordata; Mammalia; Primates; Hominidae. The record is from RNAcentral.